UGAAACCCAUUCCCUACAAACCAGGUAGCCGGGGCCCAAAGGAAGCUGACGAGUUGCUCUCUAGAGCAGGCUAUGUGCAAACCCAUGGCUACAUAUGGAUACCACCUACCCUAUAAUUAAAGGCAUCAACCUAUGUGCAAACUCGUGGCUACAUAUGGAUACCACCUACCCUAUAAUUAAAGGCAUCAACCACUAGAACAUAUUGUGAGGUUUGCUCAGCCUCAAGAACUAUGGCUUCCUUCUUAUGGUUUACUGAGAGUGGUGGUGCCUUUGGUAUGUUCAAUGUACA
Molecule: long non-coding RNA, 289 nt
Filed under: Amborella trichopoda
Lineage: Eukaryota; Viridiplantae; Streptophyta; Magnoliopsida; Amborellales; Amborellaceae
Description: long non-coding RNA (ATRI_LNC004208)
Source: RNAcentral